CAACUGGAAAAAAGCUUAAGCAAAAAUAAACAAUAGCAACAUAAAAUUCCUAUAUUUAAUUUCCUUCCUAGCUAGUACUUACAUAGAAGACAUCAAAAGAGUUUUACCCACAAAAAGAAAUGUAAAACCCUGCAGAGCUUCCUAAAUAGCCAGACCCCUGAGGAAACAGUGAUGGCUCAUGCUUGGCUGUAACCACACACAGGGGGUAUAUGAAAGGCCCUCCGGAGUGCCCAUUGUUUCAGUCCUUUAUCAGCUGCCUGGGUAUUUGCCCUGUGGUUCUACAGGAAUGUACAGCUCUGUUGCUCCAUCUUCCUCAGGAUCAACAUUUUGCAUCUGAGGCUUUCAAGUUCUCACCUGAACUUUUGGCAUACACUUGCUGCCUGCAAAUAGGGGCAUUUCUGUCACGUCUGAAUUAUAUUUGUCAUUGAACCACUUGAGAGUGAAGAACUUGUUUCCUGUUUAUAGCUGCGUAGAGCUCAGCCUAGUCAUACACUUACAAUGGGUUUUGGAAAGGAAUACUGUUAGGUCCUUUCAAACAUGCUGAAGGCAUGUGAGUUCACAUUUGGGUACAUAUGGAUCUGCCUGUUCCUGCCUGCUUUCUGCCUGAAACGGCUGGGGUCCAGGCCAGAUCCCCUGCUGUGUAAGAAAGUGGCUUAGGGUGAGUGUGGUUUCACCCUACCAAGGCAUGUGGCUUCUGGCUGAGGCUUCUGUGCACCCAAAGAGCCAACGUCAGGCUCGUGUUGGCUUGAUUAUGUCCUAGGUACAGCUGGUUUGGAGCCCUGAGACUCUGGUGUGUGGAAGUGAUUCCUAUGCCUCACUUGGCUAGCAAUAGCCAGGCACAGAAUUUGGGUUCCUGCUCUGGUUGUCUGGAGGGCAAUUUUCUAUGCACAGUCAUACCGGUCUAUAGCAGAAAAGAGAGGAUGGUUAUAUGUGUGGCUUUUGCACAUGAGUGUUCCUGUGUCUGUUUAAAGCUGGAUCAUUUCUGGCUGGAUCAAUACAUUUACAGAAAGCGCUAAUCCUAUAUAGGCAGUGCGAAAUACGCAAGCAUGUGUUAAACCAGAGUUUGCAUUAAUGUACCAGAGAGGCUUUCCGAGUGCUCUGUAAGGUAAUGGGCACAAUGAAGCUAUGCAGGAAAGCUGAAAAGGUGUCUGCAUUUGUUUUCUGCAUUGAGUCUUUCCAGAAAACCAAUUUCUGAGGCCUGGUACAGCAUACCAAAAUGCCUUACAUGACCCUUCUGAAAAAGGGGAGGUGGUCUGCUUUCUCAGAGCUGCCAGCAAAGAACAGUACUUCAUCAUCUCACUAUCAAAAGCCCUCCCUCUUCUGUCACAUUGUCAGCAUAUAUAUAUUCAAUGCUGCUGUGAGGCAGUGACAACUUCUGUUCUCCUUCAGAGCCCAGGACAAGUUCUGUGGAAUUAGCAGAGAGAGCAUCUUGAUAAACCUUUGGGUGUGGGCACAGCGUGAUGGAAAAGGGCCUCCUUCCUGCUCUGACAGCAGAGAGGGACUCUGCAAAUACUGUACAGAAGUCAUCUUUAUCCAGCUCCACCUAUUUCAUUCACUUUUAUCCUAAGGGGUGUUUCUAUUUAAAAGAGCCCUGCUGGAGCUGUGUAGGUAUGGAGUUUUGGAACUGAAGGAAGUUCUUUAGCAUAUAAAAACCUUAUUAAGCCUUAGCACAGAUCUCUGUGAGAAAAACGGCCAUGUCCCAAGAUCUGAAAAAGCAUUCUGUUGUAGGGCAAGGAUAUUAUAUUCAAUAAAUCAUAUGGAACUAUUUAUCA
This 1772-nucleotide long non-coding RNA is filed under the name Phasianus colchicus (ring-necked pheasant). RNAcentral describes it as "lncRNA (ENSPCLG00000005040.1)". Lineage: Eukaryota; Metazoa; Chordata; Aves; Galliformes; Phasianidae. The record is from RNAcentral.